CCCUGGGACAAUAUAAAACACUGUUGGAACAUUACUCUGCCCCUGUUGGUUGUUUGAACCUCCAAUAUGGCUGCAUUGUAAUACAGAAGGAGCAAGAUGGCCGCCACCCAACACAGGAGCACAAAGAUGGCUGCCUUCAACCCGUCCCUGCUCUUUGCCACAUCCAAUAUGGCUGCCAGUAACGUCAAGUUCCUGUUUAUCAGCUAUGAGAGAACUUGUUGCUUUACAUUGUGUGUUUGUUUGGCUUCCAUCAGGACAGAGGCAGCAGGAGACCCAUGUUGGACUGGGGCAGCCACUGCCAGGGAAACCAGACGCUUGUUGUACAUACUGGAAAUCGACUGGCACUCGUGGCAAGUACAAGCAAGCAAAUUUAUUUGUGGAUGUGCAACGUUUUGGGGAAACCCCUUUAUCAUGCCUGGGAUGGACACUGAUCUGCUGAGCCUGUGAUGGACGUCUCAGAGGGGCAGAAAUCAAAGAAUCCAAUAUAUGAAGUAGUGAUAGACACAGGGAUCUGCUGAGACUGUGAUGGACAUCCCAGAUGGGCCAGAAACCAUAGCACCCAGUAUAUGAAGUAGGGAUAAACACAGGAUCCAUAGAGCCUUUGAUGGACAACCCAGACUGGCCAGGAAACCAUAAAACCCAGUAUUUGAAGUAAGGAUAGACACAGGGAUCUGCAGAGCCUGUGAUGGACAUUUCAGAUGGGCCAAAAACCAUAGAACCCUGUAUUUGAAGUAAGGAUAGACAAAGGGAUUUGCUGAGCCUUUGAUGGACAACCCAGAUGGGCCAGGAAACCAUAAAACCCAGUACAUGACAUAAGGAUAGACACAGGGAUCCACAGAGCUUGUGAUGGACAACCCAGAUGGGCCAGGAAACCAUAGAACCCUGUAUUUGAAGUAAGGAUAGACACAGGGAUCUGCAGAGCCCGUGAUGGACAACCCAGAUGGGCCAGAAACCAUAGAACCAUGGAACCCAGUAAGUAAAGAAGCAUCAGGAUGAAGUAAGAUGGAAACAUAUGGCAGUUAGUGUAUGGGUAAUCUAGCAUGCACACCCAGGGGCAGUAAUCCGGACAUAGAAACAACUACCCCUGAGCAAGAAUUCAAUGGAACACUUAUGGUCUGGUUACAUUUAAGAACUGGGCAACCAAGUUGGUUGCGUGGGUUUUUAUUUCAAACCUUUUUUCCUUUGUAAGUUUCCCUCUUAACGAUAAAAUGUUUGCAGGAGUCAGCACACAUCAGGCCAUAGCAGUGAUAAUAAGAAGGAUAGUGCUUUUCAGCAUAUUAUGAAAAUUAUCCCACUAAAAGCCUAGUGCUUAGUAAUUAUAGCAAAUGCGCAUCUUUUUCUCUUUCUAAAAGUACUGGCAUUCACGUGUUCUGUAAUAUCCAUAAUAAAGAAUGUUUUAGCCCUCCAACCAAAAUGGAUGCAAAUGGCUAAUUAAGCUGAGACUGAAUUACCUAGCUGUAGGACAUGCACGAAGCCUUGAUCCAUAUACAAAGGAACAUUUCUCUUUUGGAACAUACCCAUAAGGCCUUGGUAUGAAGUUGUGUGGGGUAGCAGUUUCCCAAGGAGGAAACAACACCUGAUGCAGCAGAACUUCAGUUCCC
This is a long non-coding RNA of Xenopus laevis (African clawed frog), 1601 nucleotides long. RefSeq lists it as uncharacterized. The record is from RefSeq and is a predicted model, not a curated record. NCBI's taxonomy places the organism in Eukaryota, Metazoa, Chordata, Amphibia, Anura, Pipidae. The transcript is spliced from 2 exons.